UACGUAGGGUGCAAGCGUUGUCCGGAAUUAUUGGGCGUAAAGAGCUCGUAGGCGGUCUGUCACGUCGGCUGUGAAAACUCGGGGCUCAACCCCGAGCCUGCAGUCGAUACGGGCAGACUAGAGUGCGGUAGGGGAGACUGGAAUUCCUGGUGUAGCGGUGAAAUGCGCAGAUAUCAGGAGGAACACCGGUGGCGAAGGCGGGUCUCUGGGCCGCAACUGACACUGAGGGACGAAAGCUAGGGGAGCGAAUGGG
Molecule: ribosomal RNA, 253 nt
Filed under: uncultured bacterium
Lineage: Bacteria
Description: partial 16S ribosomal RNA
Rfam family: Bacterial small subunit ribosomal RNA
Source: RNAcentral